UACGUAGGGUGCAAGCGUUAAUCGGAAUUACUGGGCGUAAAGCGUGCGCAGGCGGUUUUGUAAGACUGUCGUGAAAUCCCCGGGCUUAACCUGGGAAUGGCGAUGGUGACUGCAAGGCUAGAGUUUGGCAGAGGGGGGUAGAAUUCCACGUGUAGCAGUGAAAUGCGUAGAGAUGUGGAGGAACACCGAUGGCGAAGGCAGCCCCCUGGGUUAACACUGACGCUCAGGCACGAAAGCGUGGGGAGCAAACAGG
RNAcentral lists this ribosomal RNA (253 nucleotides) under uncultured bacterium. RNAcentral's name for it is "partial 16S ribosomal RNA". It matches the Rfam family "Bacterial small subunit ribosomal RNA", at positions 524 to 776 of the family's 1533-position model. The record is from RNAcentral.